This 1898-nucleotide long non-coding RNA is filed under the name Homo sapiens (human). RNAcentral describes it as "HSALNT0136023". The record is from RNAcentral. Lineage: Eukaryota; Metazoa; Chordata; Mammalia; Primates; Hominidae.
GAGAUCCUUCAGGAUGGCAGAAAAAAAAAACCUCAACAUUUGAUCUGGCAUAUAGACCACUGGGUCUCUCUGCAGACAAGCAUAAUGAAAAGCUGGAGGCCUCGCCUGUGGGGUUCUGUCCUCUGGGCCACAUGCAGCUAUGCCAAGCAGGGAUGAUGUGGGAGAGAAGAAAGGGAAGAAAUAGACUAUGCAGCACUUAAACCCCCAGCUCGCUCCUGGCUUGAUGCAGUGGGCUGUUCUCAGUAUAGACAGGGACUCUGGGACACUUGAUGGGCUGCUGCUGCUGUCAAUUCCUGCAGGGAUUUCACGAGCUGGAAGAACACAAGCCUGCAGCAAAGAAUCCCAUGCGAGUGGGAUUCUCAGGCGACUCUGCCUCCCCAGGAUGAUUUGGGAGAACAGGUCCGGGCUGCUUCAAAUGGUGGCCAGUCAGAGACAUGAAGUGGCUCCUCUCUACAGGGACAUCAGAGCUGAGAUCAGGGCAGCCCCAGGAUUCGAGAGAAGGGCAUCCUGGCAGCUCAGGCCCUGUGGCAAUGACCGUCGCGCUUAACCCUCCUAUGCAAUCAACUCAAACCCAGAACUCAAUAGCAACAACACUAUUUGCUUUCUGGACAGCCUCUUAAGAGGCUCUAAAUCAGUAGGUCUCCCACAAUUGAGCUGUGCAGCUUUUGAUAAAGGAAAUGACUUUUCUGAGCAUUGAUUUCUUCAUCAGUAAAGUGAAAAUAGCUUCACCCAUCUCUCCAAUAUUGGGAGAAUAAUGUAAAAUGCUGACCACCACUUCUGGCACAUUUGCUCUGCAGUUCCAUGAAUUCGUGAAGUGAAGACCUCAUUUCUACUCUAACAUCAGUGCUGAAGUCCACUUUCAUAAUCUCCUUUUCAAAGUGACCUGUCUCAGCACUCGUGACCUUGAACUCCUGAAUAAAGGGAUGUCAAGCAUUAGAGAAAGAAUGAAAAAUGCACAGUGAAUCUAGUAUCAAACAAAAACAGCCAGCGCAUCAUUUCUGGAAUGACUGAGUUUUAGCCUUCGGAGAGAGACAUUUCCAGGAUUUCUGAAAUAAGAUACCAAGAUGCCAAUCAACAUUUCCUAAGGACAAUCAUUACCAAUAUCCACACCCGCCUCUACUGCCUCAAGUGCUUUUCGGGUGAGGGUCACAGAGAUAAAGUCUCAAUGCAAAAAUUCGGUGGGACUAGAUAGAUAGGCUUUUUCCUCAUUCAUUUAUUCUUUCACUCAAAUGUGAACUGUUGAAUUGCAUUGUACAAUCUCAGCACCCAGUGGUAGACACAAAAAAAGUAAAGGCUGUUUGGUUCCUACUCUUGGGAAGACUGCAAACUAACAGAGGUGAAAGAUAGAGCUGUAUGAAAAAUAGGACAAUAAAAGGGUCAAAUACUCAGUAAGAUAAUAGCUCAAGAGAUGCCCCAAGACAGUGUGCAAUUAAAUACCAAACGAGAGGUUGCAACAAGAACCACCAGGAGUUCAAGGGAGUGGCUGAGAUCAGAGAGGGCUACAGCACUGGGGGCAUCUUUGAUGGAGCAGUGAGAAUUGAACAGAAUCUUCAAAGACUGCCAGGUUUUAGGAAGUUGUGGGGAUCCAUUUCAAUACCACCAAUGCUUUUUCAAAGGCCGCUGUGUUCCAGAAUCUUCUUGAUUAUAAAAGAUAAUCAGAGAACACAGGCUUCCUGACCUCCUGGAGAGAACGUGUGGAUCCAGAACCAAACGCUUGAAAAUUAAAACAUGUAUGUUAGACAACAACAUAAAUACGUCUAUUGUAGGAAGCUGUGUGAAUGUUAUGUAAAGGAAUGAUUCGUUGCUAACGAUCGUAUAGCCUUUACAGCAUUAAAUGUCUCCCGUUGUGAGGUUGGAGGGAGUUUCCAUCCCUCACAAAGAUUUUAUACAAAGAGGAA